UGGGGAAUUUUGGACAAUGGGCGAAAGCCUGAUCCAGCAAUGCCGCGUGUGUGAAGAAGGCCUUCGGGUUGUAAAGCACUUUUGUCCGGAAAGAAAUCCUUGGCUCUAAUACAGUCGGGGGAUGACGGUACCGGAAGAAUAAGCACCGGCUAACUACGUGCCAGCAGCCGCGGUAAUACGUAGGGUGCAAGCGUUAAUCGGAAUUACUGGGCGUAAAGCGUGCGCAGGCGGUUUGCUAAGACCGAUGUGAAAUCCCCGGGCUCAACCUGGGAACUGCAUUGGUGACUGGGCAGGCUAGAGUAUGGCAGGAGGGGGGUAGAAUUCCACGUGUAGCAGUGAAAUGCGUAGAGAUGUGGAGGAAUACCGAUGGCGAAGGCAGCCCCCUGGGCCAAUACUGACGCUCAUGCACGAAAGCGUGGGGAGCAAACAGGAUUAGAUACCCUGGUAGUCCACGCCCUAAACGAUGUCAACUAGUUGUUGGGGAUUCAUUCCUUAGUAACGUAGCUAACGCGUGAAGUUGACCGCCUGGGGAGUACGGUCGCAA
RNAcentral lists this ribosomal RNA (544 nucleotides) under uncultured bacterium. RNAcentral's name for it is "partial 16S ribosomal RNA". It matches the Rfam family "Bacterial small subunit ribosomal RNA", at positions 355 to 891 of the family's 1533-position model. The record is from RNAcentral.